RNAcentral lists this long non-coding RNA (458 nucleotides) under Salvia miltiorrhiza (redroot sage). RNAcentral's name for it is "long non-coding RNA (SMIL_LNC014414)". Lineage: Eukaryota; Viridiplantae; Streptophyta; Magnoliopsida; Lamiales; Lamiaceae. The record is from RNAcentral.
UCCCUAUUAAGUAUGCCCUACAAGAUUCAAAUGGGUUUAAUUAUUAUUCAAUAGCUAGUGAUUAUCUCAAUUUGUUCGUGCCUCUGUUUUUAACUUGUUUUUAUUUUUUUUUAUUUUUUAUAAUUGGAGUUGGAAAUGUUACGAACACUGAAUUAUUCCCCCAAUGAAAUAGCCAAGUAUCUAAUUUAUUUUUCUUUUUCUUUCCUUAUAGUUGUUGAACUUCUAAAUAAUUGGACUUUGAUAUAAGCGGUGUCACUUUUCUAUUUUGUUUGUUACCAAUGAUAAAAGUUAGAGGAAGAAUUUAUCUCACGGCUCCUCCCAUUAAAAAAGAGAAGAAAAAUCUUUUAGUUGUAGGUAGUUACAAAUAAAUUUGGAUUAUCAUUUUAAUUGCCACGUGUUAGGCCUAAACUUCCAUCACCAGCGCUAGUCAAGCACCAACCUUAUUUAUUACUCCAGGU